Molecule: long non-coding RNA, 511 nt
Organism: Solanum lycopersicum (tomato)
Lineage: Eukaryota; Viridiplantae; Streptophyta; Magnoliopsida; Solanales; Solanaceae
Source: RefSeq, a predicted model, not a curated record
UUCCCCAUUCCACACGUUUGCAGGUUAAUUUUGAAUUCCAGUUAAAAUUUCAUCCAUAUCUAUUUGAUAUUCUAGGACUCUCUUUCCAUCUACCAAAUUUUCUCCUUCAGCUUAUUCAUCGUGACUAUCUUUCCAUCUAACUAGAUUUUCUCAUUCAUUCAAUUCAUCGUGUGAGUUUACAAAUAUCAUGGAAGAGUGUGGUAAUUUCAAAUGUGUGUAUGAUUCUGAUGAUGAGCUGUGGGCUGAGAAUAGAUCUAAGCGAUUGCAUGACCCAUUGUUGAUGAAGAACAACAAUGAUGAGCCAAAGAAGAAGACUGAAGAAAUCAAGAAAAAAAGGCCAAGAAAAGUUACAUCAACUGUGUAACUUAUUAUACGUAGCUGGGACAGGAUGAACAAGUUUAUAUGUUGUUUUGUGUUGAAGACAAUUAUCUUUUGUGUUUUUCUAAAAGCUUAUUGGUAUUACAAUAUUUUAUUAGUUAUGAAUGUUAUAUUUUUUCAAGUUAUUUUUUUA